Non-coding RNA from Pelobates cultripes (western spadefoot toad), 3598 nucleotides. The record is from the annotation of a GenBank genome assembly. NCBI's taxonomy places the organism in Eukaryota, Metazoa, Chordata, Amphibia, Anura, Pelobatidae.
GUGGGGGCACCUCCUCCUCCUCAUCGGCCUCCAGUCAGAGGUCCGGCUGUUGUUGGAAGUUUAAUGACAGUCUCUGUAAGUGGGGGUCCUCGUGCCGGUUUAAGCACGAGUGCUCCGGCUGCGGUGGGGCCCAUCCCGCCUCACGCUGUUUCAAGCGGGGCAAAACGGGGGAGAAGGGGGACAUGGGGGCUAAGGGCGACGACUCCGGUCCUCGUAAACGCGAUGCGCCCGUGGCUCGACCUUUAUAAGAAUCGGGCUGCGGCGCGGAUCCUGGUGGAUGGGUUUGAGCAGGGGUUUUGGAUCCCUUUCGCGGAGCGCCCUCCGCUGCUCUCCGUCCGGAACCUCAAGUCCGUGCGGGCUUUUCCUCAGGUGGUGCGGGACAAGUUGGAAAAGGAGGUCUCCUUGGGUCGGAUGGCCGGCCCGUUCUCCACCCCGCCGAUGGCGAAUCUGCGGGUUUCUCCCUUGGGUGUGGUACCCAAGAAGGAUCCCGGGAAGUUUCGUUUAAUUCACCAUUUGUCGUACCCUCGGGGCGGAUCGGUGAAUGAUGACAUUUCCGCUGAACUUUGCAGGGUUUCCUACGCAUCCUUUGAUGCGGCGGUUCGAAUGGUGAGAGCGGCGGGCCCCGGGGCACUGCUGGCUAAGGCGGAUGUGGAAUCCGCUUUCCGGCUGCUCCCGGUGCAUCCGGAGUGCCAUCAUCUUUUGGGGUGUGCCUUUGAGGGCCAAUUUUUUGUGGACAUGUGCCUCCCCAUGGGUUGCUCGCUAUCCUGUUUUUAUUUUGAGUGCUUUAGCACUUUUCUGGAAUGGGUGGUGCGGAGGGAAGCGGGGGUCGCUUCCCUCCUGCACUACCUGGAUGAUUUCCUGUGUGUAGGUCCGGCGGAGUCGCACGUCUGUGCUCUCCUGCUGCGGGUUCUCGGAGAGGUGUUUCAUCACUUCGGGGUUCCGUUGGCUCGUGACAAGACGGUUGGUCCGGUCACGUGCUUGAGCUUUCUGGGCAUCGAAAUCGAUUCGAUGGCUGGGGAAUGUCGGCUGCCGCAUGAUAAGGUCUUGGAUCUGCGCCUAGCGGUGUCCCGAGCCCUGGGGCGGCGUAAGAUCCAGCUACGCUGCCUGCAGUCUUUGCUGGGGAAGUUCAAUUUUGCCUGUCGGAUAUUGCCAAUGGGGCGUAUUUUUAAUAGGCGCUUGGCGGCGGCGACGUCGGGGGUCGCUCAUCCGCAGCAUUUUAUCCGGCUUACCCGGCCCUUACGGGCUGAUUUGGCCGUCUGGGACUCCUUUUUGGCCUCCUAUAAUGGCAGGUCUUACUGGCAGGCCCCGGAGGUCUCUAAUGCGGACCUCCAUUUGUUUACUGAUGCGGCGGGUUCGGCCGGCUUUGGAGCCAUCCUGGGCGCCAAAUGGUGCGCUGACUCAUGGCCGGAGACCUGGCACGCGGCAGGGCUCACUCGAAAUCUGGCAUUUCUGGAGCUCUUCCCAAUUUUGGUAGCUUUGGAGGUAUGGGGUUCCCUGCUGGUGGAUAGUCGGGUGGUCUUCCAUUGUGACAAUUUGGGUGUAGUGCAGGCUAUUAACCAGCUGUCUGCUUCUUCCCCCCCCGUGGUUCGCUUGCUCCGACGCCUAGUGCUGCGUUGUCUCGAGCUGAAUGUGUAUUGUAGGGCUGUGCACAUCCCGGGUGUGCGUAAUGUGAUGGCCGAUGCUCUCUCUCGUUCACAGUGGGACGUGUUUCGGGCGGUGGCUCCACAAGCCGAGCUGGAGGGUGUCCCGUGUCCGACAGAGAUGUGGUCCUUGGGUCUGACAGACUGAUGGAGUUGGUCCGUGGGUCGGUCGCUGCGGCCACAUGGGACCGCUAUAAUAAGGUUUGGAGGGAAUGGGAAGGGUGGGAAGGGUCCUGUGGGGGCUUCCGGGACUCAUCCUCUCGUCUGCAGGGUUUGGUUCGGCUCUUAGGGGACUGGGAGGCCGCGGGGUUGUCUCCCUCGGCCAUAUCGGCACGCUUAGCGGGGCUCAGCUUCCUGUUUAAGCUACGGGGUUGGGAGGACGCUACCAAGGCGUUCAUUGUCCGUCAGGCUCUGAAGGGCUUGAGGCGGGGGAGGGUGUCGGUGCCGGACUCGAGGCGUCCUGUCUCGGGCACGCUCCUAACUGCUUUGUGUGAGGCGUUGCACCGGGUUUGCCAUUCGGAUUUCGAGGUUCGGCUGUUUCGCCUUGCCUUUUCCCUGGCAUUCUUCGGCGCCAUGCGGAUUGGGGAGCUGGUAUGCCCCAGCCGGCGGCAGGUAGGGGGGGUGUUGUUUGGUGACGUUUCGUGCGGCACUGAUCUGAUCUCGUUCCGGAUCCGCCGCUCUAAGACGGACGUCUUGGGGAGGGGUAAGUGGGUCCGUUUGGGGGCGGUUCCGGGUUCCGGCGUUUGUCCGGUUUGGUCCUUUGGGGAAUAUUGUUCUGUGCGCUCUUCUCCUGCGCUGCCUCUCCUGGUCCAUGGGGAUGGGAGUUUCCUGUCCCAUUUCCAGUUUGUUAGAGUGUUUCGUUUAGGGCUGGAAGCGAUGGGGUUGGAUAGCAGGGAGUUCGGGGGCCAUUCCUUCCGUGUUGGAGCGGCGACCGAGGCCUCUCGGCUAGGCAUGCCAGCGCAGGUGGUUCAGAGGAUUGGUAGGUGGGACUCGAGGCGUUAUAUUUCCUAUGUUCGUCCGGCCGGUUUAAUGUCAUGAUUUCUUUUCACAGUUUCGGUUCCCCCCAGGAUCUGGAUCGUCGGGCACUCUUAUGUUUACUGGGCUGGGCAGCGUGCGGCGGUUCGGCCUGGAGGUGCGAGGUUGGGUUUCACGCCUUCCGAAGCGGAAGUUCGAUGGCUCGGUGCAAGGGGUAUGAGGUGGUCACGGCUCCUCCCCGAGUUAGUGCGGCUGUCUCGUCUCUUAGGGGCGCCGAGUGUCCUGGUGAUUCACCUGGGGGGGAAUGAUCUGGGUUCAGUACCCAUCUGGGAUUUAAUCACGGAGGUGAAGCGGGACUUGGCCCGCAUUUUGCUUUUAUUCCCGGGCGUGCGCUUGAUCUGGUCGGAAGUUAUUGCCCGCAAUUAUUGGCGUGGCGCCAGGAAUCAGAGUGCCGUGGAGCGCUGCCGUCGGAAGUUAAACAGGAGGGUUUCCCAGUUGUUUUGGGGGCUCAAGGGCUCCCGGUCCGCCACAGGGUUUUUGAGCGGGAGGCGGCUCAUUUUUUCGUGGGGAUGGUGUACACCUAACGGAGGUCGGGCUCGACCUUUUUAAUCUCGCCUUGCAGGAGGCGGUGGAACAGGCCAUGGGUGGUUUUGGUGGGGUUCCCCGCUGAUUUAGGGGUAAAGCAGCGGGUUUGGUGGCGGGGGAUGUCCUUGCCAAUUAAGUUUGGUUAUGUUUAAGGAAGGAAUAAGUUCCUUAUGUUUGCAGGUCUCAGCCUCCCCUGCUUCAAAAGGUUUAACUUUAGGUUGCCUGAGGUCUCGUGCCCAUCGAGCGUGGGUAAAGUCGGCUGAUGGCAGGCAUUGGAAUGAUAUGUUUUUUAUGACGGGGGGGGAGGUGAGAGGCAGUGGUGUUUAGGAACCACUGUAGGUUUAUUGGCAAGGACGGUGGGGUCUCUGUAUAGCACUGUAUGUUAAAUUGAGAUGUAU